CCUACGGGAGGCAGCAGUGGGGGAUAUUGCACAAUGGGGGCAACCCUGAUGCAGCGACGCCGCGUGAGUGAAGAAGUAUUUCUGUAUGUAAAACUCUAUCAGCAGGGGAGAAAAUGACAGUACCUGACCAAGACGCACCGGCUCACUCCGUUCCAGCAGCCGCGGUAAGACGUAGGGGGCAAGCGUUAUCCGGAUUUACUGGGUGUAAAGGGAGCGUAGACGGUUAUGUAAGUCAGGAGUGAAAGCCCGGGGCGCAACCUCGGGACUGCUUUUGAAACUGUGCAACUGGAGGGUAGGAGGGGCAGGCGGAAUGCAUGGUGUAGCGGUGAAAUGCGUAGAGAUCAGGAGGAACACCGGCUGCGAAGGCAGCCUGCUGGACUGAAACUGACGUUGAGGCUCGAAAGCGUGGGGAGCAAACAGGAUUAGAUACCCUGGUAGUC
This 440-nucleotide ribosomal RNA is filed under the name uncultured bacterium. RNAcentral's name for it is "partial 16S ribosomal RNA". It matches the Rfam family "Bacterial small subunit ribosomal RNA", at positions 338 to 795 of the family's 1533-position model. The record is from RNAcentral.